RNAcentral lists this ribosomal RNA (254 nucleotides) under uncultured bacterium. RNAcentral describes it as "partial 16S ribosomal RNA". It matches the Rfam family "Bacterial small subunit ribosomal RNA", at positions 524 to 776 of the family's 1533-position model. The record is from RNAcentral.
UACGUAGGGGGCAAGCGUUAUCCGGAUUUACUGGGUGUAAAGGGAGCGUAGGUGGCAUGGUAAGCCAGAAGUGAAAACCCAGGGCUCAACUCUGUGGAUUGCUUUUGGAACUAUCAAGCUAGAGUGCUGGAGGGGUAAGCGGAAUUCCUAGUGUAGCGGUGAAAUGCGUAGAUAUUAGGAGGAACACUGGUGGCGAAGGCGGCUUACUGGACAGAAACUGACACUGAGGCUCGAAAGCGUGGGGAGCAAACAGG